RNAcentral lists this small RNA (33 nucleotides) under Arabidopsis thaliana (thale cress). Its description in RNAcentral is "ATSL246340". The record is from RNAcentral. Lineage: Eukaryota; Viridiplantae; Streptophyta; Magnoliopsida; Brassicales; Brassicaceae.
GCAGAAGACGACGUGGAACAAAGUGCAGUCUUU